AGAGUUUGAUCCUGGCUCAGAGCGAACGCUGGCGGCAGGCUUAACACAUGCAAGUCGAGCGGGCGUAGCAAUACGUCAGCGGCAGACGGGUGAGUAACGCGUGGGAACGUACCUUUUGGUUCGGAACAACACAGGGAAACUUGUGCUAAUACCGGAUAAGCCCUUACGGGGAAAGAUUUAUCGCCGAAAGAUCGGCCCGCGUCUGAUUAGCUAGUUGGUGAGGUAACGGCUCACCAAGGCGACGAUCAGUAGCUGGUCUGAGAGGAUGAUCAGCCACAUUGGGACUGAGACACGGCCCAAACUCCUACGGGAGGCAGCAGUGGGGAAUAUUGGACAAUGGGCGCAAGCCUGAUCCAGCCAUGCCGCGUGAGUGAUGAAGGCCCUAGGGUUGUAAAGCUCUUUUGUGCGGGAAGAUAAUGACGUACCGCAAGAA
This 433-nucleotide ribosomal RNA is filed under the name uncultured soil bacterium. RNAcentral's name for it is "bacterial SSU rRNA". It matches the Rfam family "Bacterial small subunit ribosomal RNA", at positions 8 to 486 of the family's 1533-position model. The record is from RNAcentral.